Molecule: ribosomal RNA, 241 nt
Filed under: uncultured bacterium
Lineage: Bacteria
Description: partial 16S ribosomal RNA
Rfam family: Bacterial small subunit ribosomal RNA
Source: RNAcentral
CGACCGGCGCACGGGUGCGUAACGCGUAUGCAACCUACCUUUAACAGGGGGAUAACACUGAGAAAUUGGUACUAAUACCCCAUAAUAUCAUAGAAGGCAUCUUUUAUGGUUGAAAAUUCCGAUGGUUAGAGAUGGGCAUGCGUUGUAUUAGCUAGUUGGUGGGGUAACGGCUCACCAAGGCGACGAUACACAGGGGGACUGAGAGGUUAACCCCCCACACUGGUACUGAGACACGGACCAG